CAGAGAUACAGCCCUAAACGGAGAUUUUGGAGGUUCAGAUACAUUGCCCCUACAGUUUCUAUCCUCAAACAGGGAGCCUAAUUAGACUUUAACUCUUCAACCACGACGUCCUCUCGAAGUACAGGAAAGGAAUGAACCACCAGCGCUCAGAGCCACAUGGAAGAAAUUAAACCUGGCCCGAGAUCAUCUGACUCUUCAUUUGUACCUACAGCAAGGGCAGUCUGAGGAAGAAAAGAAGAAAAAAAGAGAAAAAAGAGAAAGAGUAAUAUUCAAAAAUAAUAAUUUGGAUAAGACUCCAAAAAGAAGAGACACUCAGAACUAUUUACUACAUAUGCAUUUUGAUAUAAGGGAUAUAAGAAUUUAUUUUAUUCAAAUGAUCCCAGGCCCACCAACUGUCAAAAACUAAUAAUUAAGAGCUGAAUGUAAUAGGUUAUAUCCAGAGGUAGGACACUCGAGUUAUUAGCAAGGAGAAGAAAGAAAUGAGAACCUUCCACCCCCUCUUCCUGAACUGUGCAUUAGCCAGCACAUAAAGCCGGGCCAAACACUGCCUCCUGAGGCUAGAGAGGGCUUGACUGUGAUUUUUUUGUUGUUUAUUGUUGUUCUAUAGCUCUCCAUUUUCACACGCCUCGGCGGAAGGGAAGUAGAAAUGCUGAGUCCUGAGUGUUCGUUCUCAUGAGGAGAAAGCCACUGCAGACCCUGAUAGAGCCAGAAACCCCUUGGGCCAUAUUUUCCCUUGCUCCAUGAAGAAGGAACAUGUUUGAGUGACAUCUACUCAGAUGACCAAGGAGUUCUUAAUUUGGAAUCAAUGUUGACCAACCAAGGCUUUGGAAAACAAAGGGUUUUCUCAGUCAGUUGCUGACAUAAUCCACGGGGCUGACAUGAAUUAGUUGUACAGGCUUC
Long non-coding RNA from Zalophus californianus (California sea lion), 900 nucleotides. RefSeq lists it as uncharacterized. NCBI's taxonomy places the organism in Eukaryota, Metazoa, Chordata, Mammalia, Carnivora, Otariidae. The transcript has 3 exons. The record is from RefSeq and is a predicted model, not a curated record.